Molecule: ribosomal RNA, 621 nt
Filed under: uncultured bacterium
Lineage: Bacteria
Description: bacterial SSU rRNA
Rfam family: Bacterial small subunit ribosomal RNA
Source: RNAcentral
AACGCUGGCGGCGUGCCUAACACAUGCAAGUCGAGCGCGAAUGGAGCAAUCCUAGUAGAGCGGCGCACGGGUGCGUAACACGUGGAUAAUCUGCCUGGGAGAUCGGAAUAACCUGCCGAAAGGCAAGCUAAUACCGGAUAAGCCCACAGGGACUUAGGUCCUCGAGGGAAAAGGUGGCCUCUGUAUACAAGCUAUCACUUCCAGAUGAGUCCGCGGCCCAUCAGCUAGUUGGCGGGGUAAUGGCCCACCAAGGCAACGACGGGUAGCUGGUCUGAGAGGACGAUCAGCCACACUGGAACUGAGACACGGUCCAGACUCCUACGGGAGGCAGCAGUGGGGAAUUUUGCACAAUGGGCGCAAGCCUGAUGCAGCAACGCCGCGUGUGUGAUGAAGGUCUUCGGAUUGUAAAGCACUUUCGACCGGGACGAAAACCCGUUGGCUAACAUCCAACGGCUUGACGGUACCGGGAGAAGAAGCACCGGCUAACUCUGUGCCAGCAGCCGCGGUAAUACAGAGGGUGCAAGCGUUGUUCGGAAUUAUUGGGCGUAAAGCGCGUGUAGGCGGCCAUGCAAGUCGGGUGUGAAAGCCCUCGGCUUAACCGAGGAAGUGCGCCCGAAACUG